This 141-nucleotide small RNA is filed under the name Chrysemys picta bellii (western painted turtle). Its description in RNAcentral is "TUC338 (ENSCPBG00000018921.1)". The record is from RNAcentral. Lineage: Eukaryota; Metazoa; Chordata; Testudines; Emydidae.
GUGCUAGGUCCGUGGUUUAUCCAUAAAGCAGGUACAGCACAGACAGCAGUAAUGCAAGCUUCCCCAUCAGCAUGCAUCAACCCUGAACUGGAUGGAUCACCAUAACCAUUAAUUUUCAAGCCCAUUCAUUCCUUGUCCUCU